Molecule: small RNA, 20 nt
Filed under: Arabidopsis thaliana (thale cress)
Lineage: Eukaryota; Viridiplantae; Streptophyta; Magnoliopsida; Brassicales; Brassicaceae
Description: snRNA_16772
Source: RNAcentral
GGCUUUUGAUACGCUUGUGG